UAGCAGUGACCUGGGGGGCAUGUUGUUA
This 28-nucleotide non-coding RNA is filed under the name Mus musculus (house mouse). The record is from RNAcentral. Lineage: Eukaryota; Metazoa; Chordata; Mammalia; Rodentia; Muridae.